Molecule: ribosomal RNA, 450 nt
Filed under: uncultured bacterium
Lineage: Bacteria
Description: partial 16S ribosomal RNA
Rfam family: Bacterial small subunit ribosomal RNA
Source: RNAcentral
CCUACGGGGGGCUGCAGUGGGGAAUAUUGGACAAUGGGGGCAACCCUGAUCCAGCAAUGCCGCGUGUGUGAAGAAGGUCUGCGGGUUGUAAAGCACUUUCAGUAGGGAAGAAAAGCUCGGAGUUAAUACCUCCGGGUCUUGACGUUACCUAAAGAAGAAGCACCGGCUAACUCCGUGCCAGCAGCCGCGGUAAUACGGAGGGUGCAAGCGUUGAUCGGAAUUACUGGGCGUAAAGCGCACAGAGGCGGGCGAAAGCCCUGGGCGUAACCUGGGAACUGCAUUCGAUACUGGCUGGCUAGAGUAUGGGAGAGGGAAGCGGAAUUUCCGGUGUAGCGGUGAAAUGCGUAGAUAUCGGAAGGAACAUCAAUGGCGAAGGCAGCUGCCUGGCCCAAUACUGACGCUCAGGUGCGAAAGCGUGGGGAUCAAACAGGAUUAGAUACCCUAGUAGUC